RNAcentral lists this unclassified non-coding RNA (400 nucleotides) under uncultured Gammaproteobacteria bacterium. Its description in RNAcentral is "contains 16S-23S intergenic spacer region". Lineage: Bacteria; Pseudomonadati; Pseudomonadota; Gammaproteobacteria. The record is from RNAcentral.
AACCGUCAAUUCAUUUAAGUUUCAACCUUGCGGCCGUACUCCCCAGGCGGUCAACUUCACGCGUUAGCUUCGUUACUGAACAGCAAGCCGUCCAACAACCAGUUGACAUCGUUUAGGGCGUGGACUACCAGGGUAUCUAAUCCUGUUUGCUCCCCACGCUUUCGUGCAUGAGCGUCAGUACAGGUCCAGGGGAUUGCCUUCGCCAUCGGUGUUCCUCCGCAUAUCUACGCAUUUCACUGCUACACGCGGAAUUCCAUCCCCCUCUACCGUACUCUAGCCAUGCAGUCACAAAUGCAGUUCCCAGGUUGAGCCCGGGGAUUUCACAUCUGUCUUGCAAAGCCGCCUGCGCACGCUUUACGCCCAGUAAUUCCGAUUAACGCUUGCACCCUACGUAUUACCG